GCUUUUACUUUGCAGUUGUAACAGGAGAAAGCAUUUUAGAAAAUGUAUCUUUCAGAGAAGAUUAGCAUGGCCCCUGCACAAGGAUGACACUCAAAUUCGUGAAGCGUUCCAUAUUUAA
This 118-nucleotide small nuclear RNA is filed under the name Vicugna pacos (alpaca). The record is from RNAcentral. Lineage: Eukaryota; Metazoa; Chordata; Mammalia; Artiodactyla; Camelidae.